RNAcentral lists this transfer RNA (74 nucleotides) under Planctomicrobium piriforme. It matches the Rfam family "tRNA". From Rfam's summary of the family: Transfer RNA (tRNA) molecules are approximately 80 nucleotides in length. Their secondary structure includes four short double-helical elements and three loops (D, anti-codon, and T loops). The record is from Rfam by way of RNAcentral. RNAcentral also lists the same sequence under 17 other names. Lineage: Bacteria; Pseudomonadati; Planctomycetota; Planctomycetia; Planctomycetales; Planctomycetaceae.
GGCGGAGUAGCUCAGUCGGUUAGAGCAGCGGAAUCAUAAUCCGCGUGUCGGGGGUUCGAAUCCCUCCUCCGCUA